This 623-nucleotide non-coding RNA is filed under the name Pongo abelii (Sumatran orangutan). Lineage: Eukaryota; Metazoa; Chordata; Mammalia; Primates; Hominidae. The record is from RNAcentral.
AGUUGACGGUCAAGUCCAACGCUCGCCGCAGACAUCUAGUGGACCGGGCGCUCGCGGACGGAAGCGAACAGACCCAGUUGGACCCGUAUGACACGAAGCCGACCCACCUUUGCUGCCAUCUAACUCCGCUGACCUGCCCACCGUUCCCCCACUGUCCGCUGGUUGACCCGGGCAGCGGAGAGAGGAGGUGGCACCAACAGACGGCUUCUGCAAAGCUGAGAGCUCCUUUUAUCCGUGGAUCAGGAGCAAAGUUUGCAGCUACACUGUCAGGCUGUGUUUGGAUGUUAGCAGUUACUUUAGCUUUGCGUCUUCAGAGUAAUUGUUCUCAGCUACUUAACAAAGAAAAGGAAAGAAAAGAAAAUUUAAAAUUUUCUUCAUUGAUCAUUCAGGAGCAUGUUUAAUUUCCAUGUAUUUGUACAAUUUCAAAGUUCGACUUGUUGUUGACUUCUAGUUUUAUUCCAUUGUGGUCAGGAAAGAUAUUCGAUAUAAUUUCAAUUAUUUUAAAUUUGUUGAGACUUGUUUUGUGGCCUAAAAUAUGGUCUAUUCUGGAGAACGUUUCUUGUGCUGAUGAAAGAAUGUGUUUUCUGCAUCUGUUGGAUGAAAUGUUCUGUAAAUGUCUCUUU